UGGGGAAUUUUGGACAAUGGGCGAAAGCCUGAUCCAGCAAUGCCGCGUGUGUGAAGAAGGCCUUCGGGUUGUAAAAGCACUUUUGUCCGGAAAGAAAUCCUUGGCUCUAAUACAGUCGGGGGAUGACGGUACCGGAAGAAUAAGCACCGGCUAACUACGUGCCAGCAGCCGCGGUAAUACGUAGGGUGCAAGCGUUAAUCGGAAUUACUGGGCGUAAAGCGUGCGCAGGCGGUUUGCUAAGACCGAUGUGAAAAUCCCCGGGCUCAACCUUGGGAACUGCAUUGGUGACUGGCAGGCUAGAGUAUGGCAGAGGGGGGUAGAAUUCCACGUGUAGCAGUGAAAUGCGUAGAGAUGUGGAGGAAUACCGAUGGCGAAGGCAGCCCCCUGGGCCAAAUACUGACGCUCAUGCACGAAAAGCGUGGGGAGCAAAACAGGAUUAGAUACCCUGGUAGUCCACGCCCCUAAAACGAUGUCAAACUAGUUGUUGGGGGAUUCA
Molecule: ribosomal RNA, 496 nt
Filed under: uncultured bacterium
Lineage: Bacteria
Description: partial 16S ribosomal RNA
Rfam family: Bacterial small subunit ribosomal RNA
Source: RNAcentral